Molecule: transfer RNA, 75 nt
Filed under: Zetaproteobacteria bacterium
Lineage: Bacteria; Pseudomonadati; Pseudomonadota; Candidatius Mariprofundia
Description: tRNA-His
Rfam family: tRNA
About the family: Transfer RNA (tRNA) molecules are approximately 80 nucleotides in length. Their secondary structure includes four short double-helical elements and three loops (D, anti-codon, and T loops).
Source: RNAcentral
GUGGAUGUAGCUCAAUGGUAGAGCCCCGGUUUGUGGUACCGGUGGUUGUGGGUUCGAGUCCCAUCAUCCACCCCA